AGAGGGAUAGCUGGGUCAAAUGGUGGUUCCAUUUCCGAUUUUCCAAGGAAUCUCCAUAUUGCUUUCCAUAUUGGCUGCACCAAUUUGCAGUCCCACCAGCAAU
Molecule: microRNA precursor, 103 nt
Filed under: Marmota monax (woodchuck)
Lineage: Eukaryota; Metazoa; Chordata; Mammalia; Rodentia; Sciuridae
Source: RNAcentral